RNAcentral lists this small RNA (291 nucleotides) under Arabidopsis thaliana (thale cress). Its description in RNAcentral is "ATSL254670". The record is from RNAcentral. Lineage: Eukaryota; Viridiplantae; Streptophyta; Magnoliopsida; Brassicales; Brassicaceae.
AUAUAUGAUUUUGUAAUUUGAGUAGUUAAUGCAUGAACUCAAACAUCAAUCUUUGGUAAUGCAAGUGACAUGAAUCUAUAAUAGCCUAGACACAAAUACAAAUGCUUUAUUCAAAUUUGAGUGAGUCCAUGGCGGACCCACUAAAGAAGGAAGGGGGUCACUUGACCCCCCUUAAAAAUAUAUAAAAAACAUUUAGUCCUUUUAAAAUCCUAAAGUGCCAGUAUCAUAUUUGGUAAUUCUCAAAGUGGUGACAUCUCUUCUACCAUGUUCGAUUCUUGUAGACAUAAUUAU